UACGGGGGGGGGCAAGCGUUGUUCGGAAUUACUGGGCGUAAAGCGCGCGUAGGCGGCUUUUCAAGUCAGGCGUGAAAGCCCCAGGCUUAACCUGGGAACUGCGUUUGAUACUGUUAAGCUAGAGUGUGGAAGGGGCUACUGGAAUUCCGUGUGUAGCGGUGAAAUGCGUAGAUAUACGGAGGAACACCAGCGGCGAAGGCGGGUCUCUGGGCCGAUACUGACGCUGAGGAGCGAAAGCGUGGGGAGCGAACAGG
RNAcentral lists this ribosomal RNA (254 nucleotides) under uncultured bacterium. RNAcentral's name for it is "partial 16S ribosomal RNA". It matches the Rfam family "Bacterial small subunit ribosomal RNA", at positions 524 to 776 of the family's 1533-position model. The record is from RNAcentral.